AUUGAACGCUGGCGGAAUGCUUUACACAUGCAAGUCGAACGGUAGAGGGGGCAACCCCUUGAGAGUGGCGAACGGGUGAGUAAUAUAUCGGAACGUGCCCAGUCGUGGGGAUAACGUAGCGAAAGUUACGCUAAUACCGCAUACGAUCUAAGGAUGAAAGCGGGGGACUCGCAAGAGCCUCGCGCGAUUGGAGCGGCCGAUAUCAGAUUAGGUAGUUGGUGGGGUAAAGGCUCACCAAGCCAACGAUCUGUAGCUGGUCUGAGAGGACGACCAGCCACACUGGAACUGAGACACGGUCCAGACUCCUACGGGAGGCAGCAGUGGGGAAUUUUGGACAAUGGACGCAAGUCUGAUCCAGCCAUUCCGCGUGCAGGAUGAAGGCCCUCGGGUUGUAAACUGCUUUUGUACGGAACGAAAGGUUUCUAUUAAUACUAGGAGCUCAUGACGGUACCGUAAGGAAUAAGCACCGGCUAACUACGUGCCAG
This 485-nucleotide ribosomal RNA is filed under the name uncultured bacterium. RNAcentral's name for it is "bacterial SSU rRNA". It matches the Rfam family "Bacterial small subunit ribosomal RNA", at positions 30 to 511 of the family's 1533-position model. The record is from RNAcentral.